Long non-coding RNA from Corticium candelabrum, 192 nucleotides. RefSeq lists it as uncharacterized. The record is from RefSeq and is a predicted model, not a curated record. Lineage: Eukaryota; Metazoa; Porifera; Homoscleromorpha; Homosclerophorida; Plakinidae. The transcript is spliced from 3 exons.
ACUACAGCGUUUCAAAGCAGCAGACAAAGUAGCUAGGCAAUGUACUUUCAUGCAUGUGCAUUUCUGUAGUCCUACUAUUCGUGAACUGUAGAACUUGCUCGUCAGAUUCAAUGCCCUGCAACACACAAGUUGUAGUUGAGCUUCUGAGACACUUGCUUGAACAUCGAAGAGACCAUUCAAUUCAACAAGAAC